This is a long non-coding RNA of Ornithodoros turicata, 540 nucleotides long. RefSeq lists it as uncharacterized. The record is from RefSeq and is a predicted model, not a curated record. The transcript has 4 exons. NCBI's taxonomy places the organism in Eukaryota, Metazoa, Arthropoda, Arachnida, Ixodida, Argasidae.
AGUGGACGACUUCACACUGUUCACUCUGCAAGGCUAUCGGCAUUGACGUCACUCACUGUCGUCAUUCGUCACGCUGACCUACUGGCGGGACGGCAAGACAGACAGACUCCUAGACGCUCUGCCGAGAAGCCGGCUUCUCGACGGUAUGUGUACUGGGGAAUGAAUGAAUGACGAGAGGAUUCGAUUGAUGUAAGAUCGAAGUAGAAAUUAAGUGCUACGUGGGACACCUUGAGACUUGUCUCUUCUGUGAAAGUUGCGUGUGCGUCGCAGCCGAACGCAUCAGGUCUCCGACCUUGAAGGCAUAUAUAUGGUAAAGAGUAGUACCGACAUGGCGACACAGAGCACUUUUGAUCCGGAGACUUAUGUGCCUGAAACAUCAAUGAGUAAAUUCAAGAGGAAGUUUCAGGAAUCCCCAUUUAUGGUCUUUGGACUGGGAGGAUGCAUCUGUGCUGUGGCAUACGGCGCUUUCAUGUACCGCCGCAGGAAGUUUGUGUCCACAUCCAUCUACAUGAUGCAGUUGCGUGUAGCAGCACAAGGCAC